Zonotrichia albicollis (white-throated sparrow) is the source of this 4551-nucleotide long non-coding RNA. RefSeq lists it as uncharacterized. NCBI's taxonomy places the organism in Eukaryota, Metazoa, Chordata, Aves, Passeriformes, Passerellidae. The record is from RefSeq and is a predicted model, not a curated record.
GGCACGGCGCGCUGAGGCCGACAACGAGAGGGUUUACUUGGGCAACACCACGCAGAAGACGGCAAGAACCCAUCCGUCUGCAGCGAGGUUGGAGUUUGUACCACAUUGCAGAGCCUGGUACAAAGCCAGCACCUCUCAUGUUCCCUUUUGGCUCACACAGUGCGCUGGUCUCAUGUGCUGCACAGGGAUAAGAUGUGACACUUCAGCAACUUUUGCCUGACAUACAUCUGCUUUUCUGGAGCCCCUUAUCCUGGGGGAUCUCUGGACCUUCAGAUGCCCUUCAGGUAUUAGAUACCCACUGUGUGUGAUUUUCAAGGCAAGGAACUUGAAGCUGCAAUCGAAUAUCUGGACUGGCAGUUCCAUCAUUUGCCUGAUGGAGAUUGGAAAACAAACAGACCCCUCUCCCAUCCUGCCACCAGAAGUGAGACUAAUUAAAGUCAAGACUAAUUUAAGUCAAGACUGUAAAAGUUUACUCUCAAUCUCUGUUCUUGUGGCCUUAAUAACCCUUUCACACAGUUUUUUGGCGGCAAAAAAUAAUUGGCAAUAUUAAAGUUUUAAAGCAACCCAUGGUUCUGUAUCUUCAUUGUCUUCAAAGGAAGCACAAGACAUAAUAAAGAGUAGAAAUUCACUCACUUGAAGCUGAGCUGUGUCCUCAUAAGUUCAGCUAUGCAUAGAUUUUAAAUGUAUGAAAGAAGGAUGUAAGAAAGAAACAAUAACAGAUUCUCUCUGUUCUACUGUCGCCAAAGACAUCACAAACAAAAUAAACUACUUGGACUACAAACAGCUAUGGAUGAAUUAAUAUCUUCUGCCUCCUGAAUGUGCUACAGGAGAUCUCUGCAUUGGAAAUCAACCUUGCACUGUCUGAAUAUGCCCAGAGCUCUCUGAGCUAUCUGCAGCAACACCGGCCACCAGGAAAAACAUAUUUUCUCGAUUUAUUUCCACUCAUUUGUUUAACUUCACUGCCAUCUGCUGUUAAGGAAGAGAACCUGGCCUGCAGGCCUGGGAAGUGGCUGUGAUGUGCCCAGGUUUGGCUUGCCAAAGCACUUCCAACUCUUACCCAAUUUUACUGUGUUGUAAAGGACAGGAAGGAAAUUGUUGUUCAUAAGGUUUGUGUCCUGUGCAUCCCUACCUCAUCCCAGGGAGUGUUUUAUCCCUGUCACACCGUGUGAAUACUCCAGCAGCACCAAGCUAAGUCAUGCCACCAUUCUUUGGGCAUGUUUUCCUUCUGCAUCUUCCUCCCACUUUUGCUCAUGUUCUUUUUGACAGCACUAUUGCCCUAUAUUCCUUCAAACAGAUCCUGGAAAAUGCCAUCUUUUCCACCCAGCAUAAAAGUACAUAGAAUAAGGGCUUGAAAAGUAAUCAGUAAUUAUGCCAUCUCUCAUUUUGUGCAGUGGAAGCACCAUCAGUUUAUCAGGCAGAGAGUGCUGAAGCAGAUGGAUCAUCAGCUUCUGUCAUUCUGUAUGUCUAGAAGUUCCUUCCAGAAUAGUUACUUCAUCCUGGCAUUUUCACUGCAUCUAAAAAAUAACACUCAGUGUGGAUAAUGGGUUGCGUCCAGGAAAAAAAAAUACACUCAACCAAGUGAACAGCAUCCACUCAAAAAAACCCCAGAAAUAUAUAUGUAUAUUUAGGCUAUGAAUUGAAAAAAUAGUCUGCUUAUGGAAAAAGAUGUCAAAAGAGGAAUAUAUUCUGCUACUGAUGGGUGCAGCUAGAGACAGGAAGUCUGUGAAAGCAUGACAUUUUCUAUUGCUUCUUAUGUACAUGUUUCCAGCUCUGACUCAAUGACUUAAUUCUUUGCCCUCAUUCAAUAGGAAACAACAAAACUUUCCUUUGACCACAGCAGGCUUUGGCUGAGACUGCUAGCAAAAUUACAAUGAUAUUUGAGGAUUAACAUAAAUGUUGUGUUCAGAUAGUUAACCUAAUGGCCUUGAAAGGAAAAUGAUAUUACAGUUAUACACAUUUAUUACAAACAGUAAUAUUUUAUUCUGCAAUGUCAAGAAUAGGCUCUGUCAGUGGCAGUUUACUACUCUGGUAUUAAAUCUUUCCUCAUGGCAAUGCUUUCAAUCUCCUUGCUUUUCUGAUUUUCUUUUUUUAAUUACUAAAAGGGCUGAUGAUCAGUACAGAUAUAGAAAAAGCAAGAUAUAGUCUAUGUCCUCUUAAGUCCAAACAAUAAAAUUGCAUUUCAGUCCUGAUCUCAGAAUAUCUGUUGCUAUCAAAGCUAAGUUAUGAACUGAAAAAAUGUAGCUCAAUUUUCAGAUGCUGUGUUAAGUGCAGACCAGGCAGUUAGAAAAUUUUAUUCUGCUUUAUAAAUGGAGUGAAUUUGAUAUGGAGUUCAGUGAAGAAGCAUCAGAAUGGAACACCAACGUGCUGGUUCCUUAGUAGAACAACAUCCCUCAGGGUAGCAAGAUGUAUGUGAAAAAGUCUUGUCCAGCAUCUGGUAACUGUUAGCACAGGAGUAGGUUCUGGUGGGCAGAAUGCAGUGACAUACUCAUGUCCAGAUCUCCUGAAAAACCUCAGUAUGAGAUGUGGAACAAAAGACUGAAAAUGAAAGGGUUAUAUAAAACACUGCAAUAAAAGUUGAGCUAGAGUUCACCAUGGUCUAAGGCCUGAUAUUUUGCUUUUUUUUCCUUUAUGCUCUAUUUCUCCAUAAAUCAUUUUAAAUACUUGUUCUGAACCUAACCCUUUCCCAUGCAUUUCUUUCUUUCCUCAGUUUCUCCUAUGAAACAAAAGGAUGCUGUACUAGAACAUCCAUUCUUCUGCACAACCCAGCAUAUGUGGAGGCAGAAUUCAUGAGCUAGACCUCUUCAGAUCUGGUUCAACAUUUGAAAUUCUGUGUGUUUGCAAGUUUGUGGUACUUGGUAGUUCUGACUUACUACAUGGCACAAGAGCCACCUCUGUCCUUCUCACUUUGGAGCUCCCAGUUCACUUUGUCUCCCUGAAAGCAGCCUUGGCUGUUCUGUCUCUCACAGACCAGCACAGACCUGUUUUCUCUGAGCCAUUCUCUGAGCCACUGUGAAACAUGCUGCUUCACUUCAUACACACUUCCAGAAAUAAAGGCAGGAGAAUCCUGAUGUGGUGUUCUGAUAGAGCAUAUGCACUUGAUUCAUCCUACUUUCUAAAUCAAAAAAUUGCAGGAUUUUUUUUUUUUGCUAUACAAAGGGAAGAGUAUAGUCAAUGGAUUGACUAGAUGACAGCCAGUUAGGGCAGCAAAGACAGACAAAAAAGAAAAUGCACUCUCAGAUUUUUCUUUAAAUCUGCAUUGAAAAGGGAACUGGGAGGUAGUUUCAGCAGAAGAGAUGAAGACAGAGAAAUGGCUUUAAGCUCAGUAUAACAGUAGGCAAGGUAAAAGGUUAAUUAUUCCUUUGGUGGAAGUGAUAGUCCUGAAUUAAUGGGAGUAACUUCAUCUCCUCCCUGGAAGCAGUCCCUGGGUUCAGUCAUUUUUCUGCUCCCCAUGGCUCCAGUUACAGCACUGCUCUGUGCUCUCUGCUCAGCUUCCCACCAGCCCCAGGCUUCCCAAAGUGGAAGGAAGUCAUUUCUGCUGAGUCCAUCAGUAGGAAAUGAAGAGUUUGGCAUGGCUUUUUAGUUAUAAAAAGUCUGAGUAAGAGAACCAACACAUCUCUACAACUGCAGGACAUCACAGCCUGGAGUAUGGUAAGCUGUCAGAGCAAGGCCAAGAGAGGGACACUGGAAGAGGUUAUAUUCCCUCACAGAGACAGAUUUAGGAACCAGGAUGUAGCUGCAUGCCUAUUUCUCAUAGUGAGUAAAACUAACAUGGAUCCCAAGAAAGGAGGCAGCAGCAGUGGGCAGCAGAGCUUGCAGGAGUUUGUAACACUUACCUUGUGACUCAGCUGUGGCUUUAACAGCCAUUCCAAACAAACUGUGCUGGGCAACACUUGGUGCUGUGUCCAGGUGUGCCCCAGGUGUGUGUGUACCUACAGGAACUUUCCUCCUAAUUUCAAAAAGUCAUGGAAAUUACAAGGCAUCCUUUUCCACCUUGUUUCUAGAAGGCAUAGUUCCUGAUAAGAGGGCAUGCUUUGGAGAUAAGCAGUGUAACUCCAAAUCUAUUACUUCCAGUCUUUCAAAAUCAUGAGGAUAUGAACUACUGGAGACAGUGGAGGAAUUGCUAGGAGAAUUCUACAACAAAAGACUUCAUUAGCCUUGAACUGUAAAAAACUCCAACACAGUCACCAGAGUCAGCCAUGCUGCUGCUUUUGAGGUGACUGAUAAGAAAAAUGCUGACAAUCUUGGAGGUAAAUCUUUCUCCUGAGUGUCCCUGCAUAAAGGAUGUGAAGUUGCAUAAUAAGGCAUUGACAAUUCUUAUUUUUAUUAUGAGGCCUUGCAAUAUUUGAUGUUUGUUUAUAGCCCAGCUCCCAGAAUCAAGGGAUUAGGUGAAGUUCUCUGUUUUAAUUAAGGAACAAAGGUUUUCUUCAAUUUUUCCACCCACUGUUGUGAGAUGCUGGGAGGAAGCAAACAUAUCACUUUUCCUUCAUGGUAAUCAUGAGAUGCUCUGUGCUGACUUAUUCAGACAUGCUAUUCAGUUUUAUGCUAGGUGAC